GAUGAACGCUGGCGGCGUGCCUAAUACAUGCAAGUCGAGCGAACAGACGAGGAGCUUGCUCCUCUGACGUUAGCGGCGGACGGGUGAGUAACACGUGGAUAACCUACCUAUAAGACUGGGAUAACUUCGGGAAACCGGAGCUAAUACCGGAUAAUAUAUUGAACCGCAUGGUUCAAUAGUGAAAGACGGUUUUGCUGUCACUUAUAGAUGGAUCCGCGCCGCAUUAGCUAGUUGGUAAGGUAACGGCUUACCAAGGCAACGAUGCGUAGCCGACCUGAGAGGGUGGUCGGCCACAAUGGAACUGAGACACGGUCCAGACUCCUACGGGAGGCAGCAGUAGGGAAUCUUCCGCAAUGGGCGAAAGCCUGACGGAGCAACGCCGCGUGAGUGAUGAAGGUCUUCGGAUCGUAAAACUCUGUUAUUAGGGAAGAACAAAUGUGUAAGUAACUAUGCACGUCUUGACGGUACCUAAUCAGAAAGCCACGGCUAACUACGUG
Molecule: ribosomal RNA, 497 nt
Filed under: uncultured bacterium
Lineage: Bacteria
Description: partial 16S ribosomal RNA
Rfam family: Bacterial small subunit ribosomal RNA
Source: RNAcentral